Molecule: ribosomal RNA, 506 nt
Filed under: uncultured bacterium
Lineage: Bacteria
Description: partial 16S ribosomal RNA
Rfam family: Bacterial small subunit ribosomal RNA
Source: RNAcentral
AGUGAACGCUGGCGGUAGGCCUAACACAUGCAAGUCGAACGGCAGCACAGGAGAGCUUGCUCUCUGGGUGGCGAGUGGCGGACGGGUGAGGAAUACAUCGGAAUCUACUCUGUCGUGGGGGAUAACGUAGGGAAACUUACGCUAAUACCGCAUACGACCUACGGGUGAAAGCAGGGGACCUUCGGGCCUUGCGCGAUUGAAUGAGCCGAUGUCGGAUGAGCUAGUUGGCGGGGUAAAGGCCCACCAAGGCGACGAUCCGUAGCUGGUCUGAGAGGAUGAUCAGCUACACUGGAACUGAGACACGGUCCAGACUCCUACGGGAGGCAGCAGUGGGGAAUAUUGGACAAUGGGCGCAAGCCUGAUCCAGCCAUACCGCGUGGGUGAAGAAGGCUUUCGGGUUGUAAAGCCCUUUUGUUGGGAAAGGAAUCCAGCUGGCUAAUACCCGGUUGGGAUGACGGUACCCAAAGAAUAAGCACCGGCUAACUUCGUGCCAGCCGCCGCCGUAA